This 253-nucleotide ribosomal RNA is filed under the name uncultured bacterium. RNAcentral's name for it is "partial 16S ribosomal RNA". It matches the Rfam family "Bacterial small subunit ribosomal RNA", at positions 524 to 776 of the family's 1533-position model. The record is from RNAcentral.
UACAGAGGUGGCAAGCGUUGUUCGGAAUUACUGGGCGUAAAGGGCGCGUAGGCGGCCUUCUAAGUCAGACGUGAAAUCCCCAGGCUUAACUUGGGAACUGCGUCUGAUACUGGAAGGCUUGAGUGCGGGAGAGGGAUGUGGAAUUCCAGGUGUAGCGGUGAAAUGCGUAGAGAUGUGGAGGAACACCAGUGGCGAAGGCGGCUUUUUGGUCUGUAACUGACGCUGAGGCGCGAAAGCGUGGGGAGCAAACAGG